Non-coding RNA from Pelobates cultripes (western spadefoot toad), 262 nucleotides. The record is from the annotation of a GenBank genome assembly. Lineage: Eukaryota; Metazoa; Chordata; Amphibia; Anura; Pelobatidae.
AGUCCGCCGGGAGUCUCCCUCACUCGAUUCCCUGCUUUAGAUUGGUCAGGAGGUUUCUGACAGGUCGGUACACAUGUUUCGGUGGUCUCAGGUAUUCGGAGAGAGAACAAACACUAUGGGACAGGGAAGGGGGGAAAGAAAGAAAGAACACUAUGGGACGGGGGAAGAAAGAAAGAACACUAUGGGACAGGGGAGUGUGGGGGGGAGAGAAAGAACACUAUGGGACAGGGGUAGGGGAGGGAGAAAGAGCGAACACUGGGAC